CGACCGGCCCGGGGGGCGCUAAUAACGGGGAACGGGAGGAGCUGCGCUGCUGGGGCCGGGGCUGGCUGUGCAGGGGGAGGAAGACGGCGUGAACGCCGAUCUGCUUUCACUGCAAAGCCUUUGUUUGAAGUGAGCUGUCGCCCCAAAACUGGCCCUCACGCACAGAUGAGGACCCUUCACCAAAAAUGCCUGACUUCUGUAAGAUGCACCAUUCCUGAAGUGGGAAGGAUGGGAGCUGGGAAAAAAAAAAAGCACACAGCACAGAGGAUGCUUUCUGCAUUGAGAAGUACCUCUUCUCAUGGAACAACCUUUUCGUCAUUAUAAGAAGAGGAUUUAUGGCUGCACAGAAGGUGGAUCAACAGAACGAUUCCCAUUUCACAGCAAAACAGAGAUGGGUUGCUCAGACGGUGGCAGACCUGGAAGAGGAUCUGGAUCUCUGGAGCCUUCAGUUCAUUUCAGCCUACUUGGUUACAGGUUCCUUGCCUUGCAAUAAAUAUAUGAUCAAUAAAAGAUAAUUCUGUCAAGGUGUUAAAGGCAAUUAGACAUACAAGAUUCAUCUUGUAUGUUUUCAAAGAUUUAAAGCUCCCUGUAGAAUGACUGUCUUCUGCCAGUUGUUCUUUAUAGGAAUCAGAAAAUAUUCCUGUGAUUUCUUCAAAACCAGCAUUUCCCAACUGUAUGUAUCAUCAGUGAAUCAAAUAGAGACAAAUCUUGUCUCUCAUUUCCAGUUAAGCCUGUCAUGUUAUAUGGCACUACAUAAUAUAUCAAGAAACAAAUGCAGCUGAUCUGGCAUGUCAUUGCUGCAAAAGGAAAUGAAACAAAUGCAGAUUUAUGAAAGAAGGCCCAUUUUUGGCACCAGUCAUGGACUUCCUGGCUGACUGCUAAUACCAAAGUGCAGAUUGUCUAUUUUAUGUUAGCAAGGGGAAAUCCCAGUAAUUCAUACCACAGCAUUAAAACACAGGAAUCUAAAAAUAGCAUGAAAGAGCUGGACUGGAAACAACAAUAAAA
Molecule: long non-coding RNA, 1005 nt
Organism: Strigops habroptila (Kakapo)
Lineage: Eukaryota; Metazoa; Chordata; Aves; Psittaciformes; Psittacidae
Source: Ensembl